RNAcentral lists this ribosomal RNA (434 nucleotides) under uncultured Ruminococcus sp. RNAcentral describes it as "bacterial SSU rRNA". It matches the Rfam family "Bacterial small subunit ribosomal RNA", at positions 341 to 792 of the family's 1533-position model. Lineage: Bacteria; Bacillati; Bacillota; Clostridia; Eubacteriales; Oscillospiraceae. The record is from RNAcentral.
ACGGGAGGCAGCAGUGGGGAAUAUUGCACAAUGGGCGCAAGCCUGAUGCAGCGAUGCCGCGUGAGGGAGGAAGGUUUUCGGAUUGUAAACCUCUGUCAACAGGGACGAAAAUGACGGUACCUGUGAAGGAAGCUCCGGCUAACUACGUGCCAGCAGCCGCGGUAAUACGUAGGGAGCAAGCGUUAUCCGGAAUUACUGGGUGUAAAGGGAGUGUAGGCGGGACUGUAAGUCAGAUGUGAAAUAUGCCGGCUCAACUGGCAGACUGCAUUUGAAACUGCGGUUCUUGAGUGAAGUAGAGGUAAGCGGAAUUCCUAGUGUAGCGGUGAAAUGCGUAGAUAUUAGGAGGAACAUCAGUGGCGAAGGCGGCUUACUGGGCCUUAACUGACGCUGAGGCUCGAAAGCGUGGGGAGCAAACAGGAUUAGAUACCCUGGUA